Molecule: ribosomal RNA, 231 nt
Filed under: uncultured bacterium
Lineage: Bacteria
Description: partial 16S ribosomal RNA
Rfam family: Bacterial small subunit ribosomal RNA
Source: RNAcentral
UACGGAGGGGGCAAGCGUUAUUCAUCCUGAUUGGGCGUAAAGGGUAUGUAGGUGAUGGAAAAUGUUUUUUGAAAAAAGCUCAAGUUUUGGGUCUUGAAAUUCACAAAAACCAUUGAUCUAUUCGAGAAUGAAGGGGUUGGCGGAAUUACUAAUGUAAAAGUAAAAUAUGACGAUAUUAGUGCGAAUACCAGGGGCGGAAAGCGGCUUUCUUUAAUUUCUGACACUGAGGUA